Molecule: small RNA, 664 nt
Filed under: uncultured fungus
Lineage: Eukaryota; Fungi
Description: eukaryotic LSU rRNA
Rfam family: 5.8S ribosomal RNA (bases 246-400)
Source: RNAcentral
AAGUCGUAACAAGGUUUCCGUAGGUGAACCUGCGGAAGGAUCAUUACUGAACUGCUGACACGAGUUGUUGCUGGUCUCCAAACGGGGGCAUGUGCACGCUCUGUUUGUGCAUCCACUCACACCUGUGCACCUUCUGUAGUUCUGUGGCCUGGGGGACUCGUCCUCCUGCUGUGGUUCUGCAUCUUUACACUCACGCUGUGAUAAAGUCUAAUGGAAUGCAUGCCGCGUUUAACGCAAUACAAUACAACUUUCAGCAACGGAUCUCUUGGCUCUCGCAUCGAUGAAGAACGCAGCGAAAUGCGAUAAGUAAUGUGAAUUGCAGAAUUCAAUGAAUCAUCGAAUCUUUGAACGCACCUUGCGCCCUUUGGCUAUUCCGAAGGGCAUGCCUGUUUGAGUAUCAUGAACAUCUCAACUCCUCACGGUUUGCCCGUGAUGAGCUUGGACUUUGGGGGUCUUGCUGGCCUGCGGGUCGGCUCCUCUCAAAUGAAUCAGCUUGCCAGUGUUUGGUGGCGUCACAGGUGUGAUAACUAUCUACGCUUGUGGUUUUCCGCCAGGUAACCUCCAGCAAUGGGGGUUCACUGGAGCUCACAAAUGUCUCUCCUCGGCGAGGACAGCUCUUUGAACGUUUGAUCUCAAAUCAGGUAGGACUACCCGCUGAACUUAA